RNAcentral lists this ribosomal RNA (465 nucleotides) under uncultured bacterium. Its description in RNAcentral is "partial 16S ribosomal RNA". It matches the Rfam family "Bacterial small subunit ribosomal RNA", at positions 338 to 794 of the family's 1533-position model. The record is from RNAcentral.
CCUACGGGAGGCAGCAGUGAGGAAUAUUGGUCAAUGGCCGAAAGGCUGAACCAGCAACGCCGCGUGGAGGACGAAGCCCUUCGGGGUGUAAACUCCUUUCGGGAGGGACGAAACUCCGGAUCUCGAAUAGAGGUCGGGACUGACGGUACCUCCGGAAGAAGCCCCGGCCAACUCCGUGCCAGCAGCCGCGGUAAUAAGGAGGGUGCAAGCGUUGCUCGGAAUCACUGGGUGUAAAGCGCGAGUAGGCGGUUAAUUAAGUAAGAGGUGAAAGCCCACGGCUCAACCGGGGAAGGGCAUCUGAAACUGGUUAGCUAGAGUGUGAGAGAGGGAUGCGGAAUUCCCGGUGUAGCGGUAAAAUGCGUAGAUAUCGGGAGGACCACCAGUGGCGAAGGCGGCAUCCUGGCUCAUAACUGACGCUGAGUCGCGAAAGCGUGGGGAUCAAACAGGAUUAGAUACCCCUGUAGU